This 500-nucleotide ribosomal RNA is filed under the name uncultured bacterium. Its description in RNAcentral is "bacterial SSU rRNA". It matches the Rfam family "Bacterial small subunit ribosomal RNA", at positions 1021 to 1519 of the family's 1533-position model. The record is from RNAcentral.
CGGGCGUACUGAGACAGGUGGUGCAUGGUUGUCGUCAGCUCGUGUCGUGAGAUGCUUGGGUUAAGUCCCGCAACGAGCGCAACCCUUGUGAUCAGUUACUAACGGGUAAAGCCGAGGACUCUGAUAAGACUGCCGGGGACAACUCGGAGGAAGGUGGGGACGACGUCAAAUCAUCAUGCCCCUUAUGACCUGGGCUACACACGUGCUACAAUGGCCACUACAGAGAGCCGCGAAAUCGUAAGGUGGAGCUAAUCUCAUAAAAGUGGUCCCAGUUCGGAUUGUGGGCUGCAACCCGCCCACAUGAAGUCGGAGUUGCUAGUAAUCGCGGAUCAGCAUGCCGCGGUGAAUACGUUCCCGGGCCUUGUACACACCGCCCGUCACACCAUGGGAGUUGAUAGCACCCGAAGUCGGUGAGGCAACCGCAAGGAGCCAGCCGCCGAAGGUGAGAUCAAUGACUGGGGUGAAGUCGUAACAAGGUAGCCGUAUCGGAAGGUGCGGCU